Molecule: ribosomal RNA, 551 nt
Filed under: Staphylococcus aureus
Lineage: Bacteria; Bacillati; Bacillota; Bacilli; Caryophanales; Staphylococcaceae
Description: partial 23S ribosomal RNA
Rfam family: Bacterial large subunit ribosomal RNA
Source: RNAcentral
ACACAGGUAGUCAAGAUGAGAAUUCUAAGGUGAGCGAGCGAACUCUCGUUAAGGAACUCGGCAAAAUGACCCCGUAACUUCGGGAGAAGGGGUGCUCUUUAGGGUUAACGCCCAGAAGAGCCGCAGUGAAUAGGCCCAAGCGACUGUUUAUCAAAAACACAGGUCUCUGCUAAACCGUAAGGUGAUGUAUAGGGGCUGACGCCUGCCCGGUGCUGGAAGGUUAAGAGGAGUGGUUAGCUUCUGCGAAGCUACGAAUCGAAGCCCCAGUAAACGGCGGCCGUAACUAUAACGGUCCUAAGGUAGCGAAAUUCCUUGUCGGGUAAGUUCCGACCCGCACGAAAGGCGUAACGAUUUGGGCACUGUCUCAACGAGAGACUCGGUGAAAUCAUAGUACCUGUGAAGAUGCAGGUUACCCGCGACAGGACGGAAAGACCCCGUGGAGCUUUACUGUAGCCUGAUAUUGAAAUUCGGCACAGCUUGUACAGGAUAGGUAGGAGCCUUUGAAACGUGAGCGCUAGCUUACGUGGAGGCGCUGGUGGGAUACUACCCUA